Molecule: ribosomal RNA, 882 nt
Filed under: Promicromonospora sukumoe
Lineage: Bacteria; Bacillati; Actinomycetota; Actinomycetes; Micrococcales; Promicromonosporaceae
Description: bacterial SSU rRNA
Rfam family: Bacterial small subunit ribosomal RNA
Source: RNAcentral
UGGUGGCGUGCUUAACACAUGCAAGUCGAACGGUGAAGCCCAGCUUGCUGGGUGGAUCAGUGGCGAACGGGUGAGUAACACGUGAGCAACCUGCCCUCCACUUCGGGAUAAGCCUUGGAAACGAGGUCUAAUACCGGAUACGAGCACUUACCGCAUGGUGGGUGUUGGAAAGUUUUUCGGUGGGGGAUGGGCUCGCGGCCUAUCAGCUUGUUGGUGGGGUAAUGGCCUACCAAGGCGUCGACGGGUAGCCGGCCUGAGAGGGCGACCGGCCACACUGGGACUGAGACACGGCCCAGACUCCUACGGGAGGCAGCAGUGGGGAAUAUUGCACAAUGGGCGAAAGCCUGAUGCAGCGACGCCACGUGAGGGAUGACGGCCUUCGGGUUGUAAACCUCUUUCAGCAGGGAAGAAGCGAAAGUGACGGUACCUGCAGAAGAAGCGCCGGCUAACUACGUGCCAGCAGCCGCGGUAAUACGUAGGGCGCAAGCGUUGUCCGGAAUUAUUGGGCGUAAAGAGCUCGUAGGCGGUCUGUCGCGUCUGGUGUGAAAUCCCAUGGCUCAACCAUGGGCUUGCAUCGGGUACGGGCAGACUAGAGUGCUGUAGGGGAGACUGGAAUUCCUGGUGUAGCGGUGGAAUGCGCAGAUAUCAGGAGGAACACCGAUGGCGAAGGCAGGUCUCUGGGCAGUUACUGACGCUGAGGAGCGAAACCAUGGGGAGCGAACAGGAUUAGAUACCCUGGUAGUCCAUGCCGUAAACGUUGGGCACUAGGUGUGGGGCCGGUUCCACUCGUUCUGUGCCGCAGCUAACGCAUUAAGUGCCCCGCCUGGGGAGUACGGCCGCAAGGCUAAAACUCAAAGGAAUUGACGGGGGCCCGCACAAGCG